UACGGAGGGUGCAAGCGUUGUCCGGAUUUAUUGGGUUUAAAGGGCACGUAGGCGGGCCUUUCAGUCCGUGGUGAAAGCCCGCAGCUUAACUGUGGAAUUGCCAUGGAUACUGGAGGUCUUGAAUUCAGUUGAGGUUGGCGGAAUUCAUGGUGUAGCGGUGAAAUGCAUAGAUACCAGAAAGAACACCUAUUGCGAAGGCAGCUAACUGGACUGGAAUUGACGCUGAGGUGCGAAAGCGUGGGGAGCGAACAGG
RNAcentral lists this ribosomal RNA (253 nucleotides) under uncultured bacterium. Its description in RNAcentral is "partial 16S ribosomal RNA". It matches the Rfam family "Bacterial small subunit ribosomal RNA", at positions 524 to 776 of the family's 1533-position model. The record is from RNAcentral.